This 422-nucleotide ribosomal RNA is filed under the name uncultured bacterium. RNAcentral describes it as "bacterial SSU rRNA". It matches the Rfam family "Bacterial small subunit ribosomal RNA", at positions 355 to 774 of the family's 1533-position model. The record is from RNAcentral.
UGAGGAAUAUUGGUCAAUGGGCGAGAGCCUGAACCAGCCAAGUCGCGUGAAGGAAGACGGUCCUAUGGAUUGUAAACUUCUUUUGUACUGGGGUAAAAAAAGGGACGUGUCCCUUAUUGCAAGUACAGUACGAAUAAGCAUCGGCUAACUCCGUGCCAGCAGCCGCGGUAAUACGGAGGAUGCGAGCGUUAUCCGGAUUUAUUGGGUUUAAAGGGUGCGCAGGCGGACUUAUAAGUCAGCGGUGAAAUCUGGAAGCUUAACUUCCAAACUGCCGUUGAAACUGUGAGUCUUGAGUGCGGAUGAAGUAGGCGGAAUUCGUUGUGUAGCGGUGAAAUGCAUAGAUAUAACGAGGAACUCCAAUUGCGAAGGCAGCUUACUAAGCCGUAACUGACGCUGAGGCACGAAAGCGUGGGUAUCAAACA